AGGACGAACGCUGGCGGCGUGCUUAACACAUGCAAGUCGAGCGGAAAGGCCCUUCGGGGUACUCGAGCGGCGAACGGGUGAGUAACACGUGAGCAACCUGCCCUUAGCUCCGGGAUAGCUCCGGGAAACCGGAAUUAAUACCGGAUACGACCACGGCCGACAUCUGCUGUGGUGGAAAGGAUUCCGGCUAAGGAUGGGCUCGCGGCCUAUCAGCUAGUUGGUGGGGUAAUGGCCCACCAAGGCGACGACGGGUAGCCGGCCUGAGAGGGCGACCGGCCACACUGGGACUGAGACACGGCCCAGACUCCUACGGGAGGCAGCAGUGGGAAUAUUGCGCAAUGGGCGAAAGCCUGACGCAGCGACGCCGCGUGGGGGAUGAAGGCCUUCGGGUUGUAAACCCUUUCAGCAGGGACGAAGCGAAAGUGACGGUACCUGCAGAAGAAGCGCCGGCUAACUACGCGCCAGCAGCCGC
This 472-nucleotide ribosomal RNA is filed under the name uncultured bacterium. Its description in RNAcentral is "SSU rRNA". It matches the Rfam family "Bacterial small subunit ribosomal RNA", at positions 26 to 518 of the family's 1533-position model. The record is from RNAcentral.